GUAGGAUUUUACCCCCUUUCACAGAUGAGGGUACUGAGAAUCAGAGAGACAUUUGCCAACUGCCCUAAGAUCACAGCAUUAGUGGUGGAGCUGAGAUUUGUGUCCAAGAUGGUCCCAUGAAGACGAUCAGCUGUAACUAUAUGGAGCAAGAAUAUUAUUCAGAUAUUAUUCAGUGGUUGCAAAAAGCAAUAAAUAAUUCAGUCUGAGAUUUUGACUGGCUAAGAGAGAAAAAGGCAGGAGGAGAAAACUGGAAGAAGAACAGAGGAGUUAGCAGGUGGCCCCCAGAACUGGUGUGGUGCGUGUCCCUCCAUUACUCUGCAGGCUCUCAGACGGUCGGUCUCAACUUCCACUGCACAUUGGAACCACACAGGAGGCUUAAAGAAAGUGAUUGAUGCCUGGCUCCUCCAGGGACCACAUCUUUUUUCUCUUCUUGUCUCUGGGAUUUGGCAUAAUGCCUGUCCUGUAAUGAAGAUUCAGCAGUCGAUGACCAGGGCUAAGAACUUGCUCCAGACCACGAGCCUCCCCUUUGAGAACGCAAGUAGACUCACAGUUUUUCAGCAUCUCAAGGAGCCUGCAGUGGUGAUCCAGUUCCUUCAAAGGGUCUGUGGAUUCUCUCGGCUUUCCUGGGUCAAAUCAGAAACCUGAUUGAUGAAUGGCUCUGAGUGUCAAUGCUAAAUAUCAGGGGGCCCGGCACGAUGGCUCACACCUGUAAUCCUGGCACUUUGUGAAGCCAAGGGUCUCCACUCGGUGCUUGCCAUUGCGGACUUCCAUGUGCUCUCCAGGGGCCAACAGACAGGAAGAGGAUAAAGCUGAACGGACAGCAUGCUUCCGCCUUCCUGCCGAGAUAAUGAACUGAAGGAGGCAGAGAAGCUGGGGCCACCUGAAGGACGACCAGCAGCCCUAUCUAAACCGUCCAGAGCGCAGGCUGCCAUGGGCGAGCUGUUUAUCGACAGCCACAUGUUCCCGAUUGCAGGCUACUGCAUGGCUACAAUUAGACUUUUUGACUGAUGGCCAGUUUAAUGAGCCUAUUUACAGAGGGUCAUUCAACAUAGCAAUUACACCUAUAAAUCUAUUUGCAGCAGGACUCGAAUAACCUUCUGCACACAGCCUUGUAUAAAACUGCUGUCUGAUUAAUUAACAUUAAUUUCCCCGCCGUAUGGAACCAGCUGCAGUUGGUGUAAAUGCUUCCAGCUCCUCUCGGCAGGCCCCCUGUGAAUGGCAGGGGUUCUCAUGGUGGGGGUAACGUUUCACGGGCUGGGAGGGAGGGAAGGGCCGGGAGUUGUGUUGUUGCUGUUCCAAAGAAACGCUUAGUUUUUCUUCCAUCCCUCUGUUCUUUCUCUGGUCCUGUUUGAUUGAUGUUUCAGGGCAGUGUCAUAUAUAGGGGGCAAAAUUCAAUUAAUUGGAUAUGAAAUAUUUAUAACCCUGCUGUAUGUGUCUAUCAGAAAAGAGCCCUUAAUAGAUCUUCUCAUUAGCAUGAGCUGGUGACUCAUUUCUCCGCUUUCACAGUCAUUCAGAAUUAAAAUCCAAUUAAUCUAAUAUCCCUGUGAAUGUUAUUAAAUUAUUGGAAAAACUGCAUUCAGGAGAUAGGGUGAGGGGAAGGAGCCGGCCUGGUGGGUUCUCAUUUCCUCUCUGCAAAGCACACAAUGCCAGGGGGACCAGCCCCUCUUCCUUUGGGCGCUCAGCUUCCCGCUUUUGGGUUGUGUCUACACUUGGCAAAUAAAGCACCGGAUUGUGAAUCAGGGACUCUCAGCUGCCAAUGCUAACACUGCCAAAGCUAAUAACACAACAACAACAACAACAACAGAAGCAGCAGCAGCAUCAACAAAACCCAGAACACCGGUUUCUGAAACCAGCAAAGUAUUUGCAAAAUGCAAGAUUGUAAUUAAGUGAAAAGGUAAGAUUUGCACUGUUUUAAGCAGCUCUAAAAGAAAUGAGUCUCUUUAAGGUGGAAGCAGCUUUAAGAAGGAAGACUGAAUUGGAAGCUCCCAGGCUCCAUGCAAUUCUAGAAUGCUGUGAUUUUAUGAAUUCUUAGUCUGAGGACCCUGUGAAAAAGUCAGGAAGAACAGUCUAUGAUUUUACAGAAGUGAUGAGUUGAACAAAAAGCUAAAGGCUCCUUGUAUUUGGAAAAACAGGGACCAUUGCUAUCAUUAUUAACAAAUGUUUGCAUCACAGGGCAUUUCCUUUGUCCAGUGGUACAUGGAGACACUUGAAAUUUUUUGCAUUUUUUUGGAAAGGGAGAGAGAAAAAAUUAUGGCAAUUAUGGUAAGCAGUGUCCUGAAGUUCUGCCGAUCAACUGAUAUUAUGACGUUGUGGCCCAUAAUUUGGAGGUCACCAACUCUAGACUUUAGUUAUGACCAUGACAUAAGGAUUCUAGAAACUCCUGAGAGGGCUCUUAAAUCCCUCUCUCCUUGCAGAAUCCGACACUGAAGUUGGACCAACAUUGACUGAGUUCCUACUGUAUGUCCGGGACUGUGCCAGGAGCAAGGGGUUACAGUGCUAUGGAUUACAUAAACAUUUAUAAACGGAAAUGCUCCCCAAAGAAUGUGAUGAUGAAAAAGACUUGGCUCCUGGCUUUGAGAGGCUUCUAAGUAUGUAAACUGAUAAUUUAAAAUAUGAUGGGCUGUCUCACUGCAAAGCAAUGAUAAAUGCAUGAGGUGCUGGAUAUGCUAACUACUCUGAUUUAAUCAUUAUACAACGCAUGUAUGUAUUGAAACAUCAAACUUUACCCAUAAAAUGUGUAAUUACGAUGUGUCAAUUUAAAACAAUUUAAGAAAUAGAAUGGUUUGAAACGCUUUGCUACUGGAGCAUAGCAGGGUGAUGGAGGGGUGUCAGGGAGAUCUUCCUGGGACACGUACACUGACUCUGGGGUGUAAUGGGGCUGUGUUCCUGGGCGGGCUUAGACUGUUUCUGUAAUUAUGACAGCUUUCUCCUUCUUGCUGUAGUUUUGUCUUUUCAAGAAUGUCCUAUGAAUAUUUGAUAUGAUUUGGAUGUCGUCCCCUCAAAACCUCAUGUUGAAGUGCAAUCCGCAGUGUUAAAAUUGGAGACUGGUGGGCAGUGUUUGGGUCACAGGGGCGGAUCCCUCAUGGCUUGGUGCUGUCUUUGCGAUAGUGAGUUCUCCCGAGAUCUGGUUGAAGAAAAAUGUGUGGCACCUCCCUUCUCCCUCUCUCUCUUCCUCCCACUCUUGCCAUGUAAGACACCAGCUCCCCUUUCAUCUUCUGCCAUGAUUGUAAGCUUCCUGAGGCCUCCCCAGAAGCUGAGCAGGUGCUGCCACCAUGCUUCCUGUAGCAUUGCAGAACCAUGAACCAAUAAAACCUCUUUUCUUUAUAAAUU
Pongo pygmaeus (Bornean orangutan) is the source of this 3330-nucleotide long non-coding RNA. RefSeq lists it as uncharacterized. The transcript has 5 exons. The record is from RefSeq and is a predicted model, not a curated record. Lineage: Eukaryota; Metazoa; Chordata; Mammalia; Primates; Hominidae.